Molecule: long non-coding RNA, 290 nt
Filed under: Selaginella moellendorffii
Lineage: Eukaryota; Viridiplantae; Streptophyta; Lycopodiopsida; Selaginellales; Selaginellaceae
Description: long non-coding RNA (SMOE_LNC001968)
Source: RNAcentral
CAAAGGGAUAAAUCCCCGGACGAGAGAGGAGCAACUCUAUGAUCUUCGCCGGUAAGGUCGAGUGAUCUCUAUAGCAAGCUUGAGUUGCGAGCUGGCGUUUCCUUCCUACAGGUACCACGGGAUAUCUCAUUACGAAGAAAGCGAAGAGAAAAACCACACGAGAUUACCUUGUCCGAGCGAGCUUCUCGUCGAGCAGCACCACAGCAACUAUGGCGAGCCUUGGGCUGGAGGUCGAGACGUCUUUGAGUUCAUCGCAAAGGCCUCGGCUCUCAAGAGACACCACCGGGUGU